AUAUCCCCAUUGUUAGGAGGCGCACGACUGUAUUUAGUCCAACAACUUGCUGAAAUGUGAUUCUACCAUUUUUCCAGUCAACUCCUAAGUUUUAAAUACCAUACAUCUGCCACCUUACCAGGCAGUUUCAACCAUAACAACAGAAGAAUACUCUUGGCAAAUAGAUCCCACUCUCUGAGGGUUGUGUUGGGGCUCAGAAAAUACUACCCCGAAGUAUGACACUUUGGCAUGCUGAAUACUUUGAACUAAAAGAGAUUGGAAGGCCUCAGAAGCAGCCUCGGAAGCAGUCUCUCCCUCUGAUCUCCUGCCCUUCUGUCUCCUGCCCAUCUUUCGUCCCAGAAGUGAGUCACAGAAACCAGAAUUCUUCCCCAAGUGGUGGCUGUGAUCCUUACAAUGGGUGGUGAGGAAAGGUACUAAAGUUUUCGGCCCCUACGUUGCACUUUAAAUAAAUAAAUGUAUAAAAGCAAAGUAGACAAAGACACAUGAAGUCAUAAUGAAAAUACCAGAGUCAGCCAAGGAAGAAGGCAGACUUGCAGUUGAAAUGCUCCAGAUCACUUUGUCCACCGAACGAAAACAUCUAAGAACAUACAGUCCAUACUCCAAGUUUUAAACGACUGUCCACCAAGAAGGGAAAAGGAGAACUGAUGGCUCCUCUUAGGCCCAUUCAAGACAAGGGGGUCCCAAUUCCCUUGCUUUAGACUGGUGGGACUGGCAGGUAAACCUGAGGCAAAUGACUGACUACAGGUUCCAAGGCCAGUUACUCCAAUUAGAAAGCAAAACACAAAGUUUCAAAAAACAGUGAAGGCAGUCGGGAGGCUGAGGCACGACAAUCGCUUUAACCCGGGAGACGGAGGUUGCGGUGGGCCGAGAUCACGCCACUGCACUCCAGCCUGGACAACAGUGCGAGACUCCGUCUCAAAAACAACAACAACAACAAAUGGUGAAGGGAUGAGGCUGAAACAUCACGGGAAGUAAAAUAAAUAAUUGUAACAAGAAAACAAUAAAGCAUUGGAGAAUCCACCCAGGCA
Molecule: long non-coding RNA, 1028 nt
Organism: Homo sapiens (human)
Lineage: Eukaryota; Metazoa; Chordata; Mammalia; Primates; Hominidae
Gene: PARP11-AS1
Product: PARP11 antisense RNA 1
Source: Ensembl